AUGACGAAGCUCUACAAAAUCCACUCCCAUGCCCACAUCCAAGCCCUGCAGGCCCGCGCCAAUGAGCUGGGCCACUCCAAUAAGUCCAUGCUUGUGAAUCUUGUCUCUCUGGAGUCGGUGCGCAUAGCGCGCGAGUCGUAUGCACUCCUCCGCCCGCUGAUCAAGGAGUCGUGGAUCUGGGCAUGCCCGGAGCUGGAAAUCCUCUUGGUUGUGGCAGGCUUGUCGCUGGAAAUCCAAAAGCUUGAGCAUGAUGUGUUACCCCAGCUCAUGGUUCAGGAGGCCAAGCUGGAACGGGGCGCCCUGGAAGCCCUCCUACUCAUGAAGAACUCAGCAAUUACGCUCUUAGAUCUGAGGAAGUGCUUUAUCUUAGCCUUGGGCGUAUUGCUUGCCGAUGAGGAUCUGGUCUCAGCCCGAGUCAAAAAGCUGAGCAUAAUGCUAAAGGAUACUGCUGAUGAUGUACUCAAUGUGCAUCGUUGGUUACGACUCCAGCUCGCGCGCCCUCCGUGGAUCAGGCAUCAACGGUCGCAGUUCUGA
This 534-nucleotide ribosomal RNA is filed under the name Triticum aestivum (bread wheat). RNAcentral describes it as "partial small subunit ribosomal RNA". The record is from RNAcentral. Lineage: Eukaryota; Viridiplantae; Streptophyta; Magnoliopsida; Poales; Poaceae.